RNAcentral lists this non-coding RNA (309 nucleotides) under Pan troglodytes (chimpanzee). Lineage: Eukaryota; Metazoa; Chordata; Mammalia; Primates; Hominidae. The record is from RNAcentral.
ACGGAAUGGCCUGGCACGGUGACCACGGAGUGCCCUGGCACCGGUGCCCGCGGCUGUGACGGGAAAAGGGUGGGAAGAACAGGGAAGAGGAAGCAGAAACAGGUUGUCUGUUCACUCUGAUGGUAGAGAAGACCUUAAAUGACCUGAUGGAGCUGAAAACCGUGGCACGAGAACUUCCUGCCUUCGAUUCCUCACAAGCUCGGGCAUACCACGAGGCUUGGAGACUCAAAACCUGAAGAGCCUGCAAUCAGAUUUCUCCCUUACUAUUCCUGCUCAUUGUCUUCUGUGGACUAAUACUGAACAUGAAAC